This 300-nucleotide ribosomal RNA is filed under the name uncultured bacterium. Its description in RNAcentral is "bacterial SSU rRNA". It matches the Rfam family "Bacterial small subunit ribosomal RNA", at positions 497 to 795 of the family's 1533-position model. The record is from RNAcentral.
UGGACUGCGGGCGGGGGUGUUGGGUAAUGCGGCGGGGGUGAGCGUUGGCCGGCAUUACUGGGUGUAAAGCGCUCGUAUGUGGUUUGUCGCGUCGUCUGUGAAAUACCGGGGCUUAACUUCGGAGCUGCAGGCGAUACGGGCAUAACUUGAGUGCUGUAGGGGAGACUGGAAUUCCUGGUGUAGCGGUGAAAUGCGCAGAUAUCAGGAGGAACACCGAUGGCGAAGGCAGGUCUCUGGGCAGUAACUGACGCUGAGGAGCGAAAGCAUGGGUAGCGAACAGGAUUAGAUACCCGGGUAGUC